UGACUAAGCCAUGCGAGUCGAGAGGGUUCGGCCCUCGGCGUACUGCUCAGUAACACGUGGAUAACCUGCCCUAGGGGAGGGGAUAACCCCGGGAAACUGGGGAUAAUACCCUAUAGGUUACAGAUGCUGGAAUGCCCUGUAACCAAAAGCUCCGGCGCCCUAGGAUGGAUCUGCGGCCGAUUAGGUUGUUGUUGUUGGGGUAACGGCCCAACAAGCCCGUAAUCGGUACGGGUUGUGGGAGCAAGAGCCCGGAGUUGGAUUCUGAGACACGAAUCCAGGCCCUACGGGGCGCAGCAGGCGCGAAACCUUUACAAUGCGGGCAACCGUGAUAAGGGAACCUCGAGUGCCUGUAAACGCAGGCUGUUCAGGUGUUUAAAACGCACCUGGAGAAAGGGCCGGGCAAGACCGGUGCCAGCCGCCGCGGUAAUACCGGCGGCUCGAGUGGUGGCCGCUUUUAUUGGGCUUAAAGCGUUCGUAGCAGGGUUGUUAAGUCUCUUGGGAAAUCUGGCGGCUUAACCGUCAGGCGUCUAAGGGAUACUGGCAAUCUUGGAACCGGGAGAGGUGAGGGGUACUUCGGGGGUAGGGGUGAAAUCCUGUAAUCCUCGAGGGACCACCUGUGGCGAAGGCGCCUCACCAGAACGGCUUCGACAGUGAGGGACGAAAGCUGGGGGAGCAAACCGGAUUAGAUACCCGGGUAGUCCCAGCCGUAAACGAUGCGCGUUAGGUGUAUCGGUGACCACGAGUUACCGAGGUGCCGAAGGGAAACCGUGAAACGCGCCGCCUGGGAAGUACGGUCGCAAGGCUGAAACUUAAAGGAAUUGGCGGGGGAGCA
Molecule: ribosomal RNA, 832 nt
Filed under: uncultured archaeon
Lineage: Archaea
Description: bacterial SSU rRNA
Rfam family: Archaeal small subunit ribosomal RNA
Source: RNAcentral